This is a long non-coding RNA of Nicotiana attenuata, 249 nucleotides long. RefSeq lists it as uncharacterized. The transcript is spliced from 3 exons. Lineage: Eukaryota; Viridiplantae; Streptophyta; Magnoliopsida; Solanales; Solanaceae. The record is from RefSeq and is a predicted model, not a curated record.
CCAUAGUUUCAAUUGCAGUGGCACUCAAGCCAGAGAACAAAUUAACAACGGAGAAGAAGUUUAACGGAAAAGAUGAUCUGAAGUUCAAGGAGUGGUUUGGAUAGCAGGUCAUUGUUUCAAAAGAACUUGGAGCAAAAAGACAAGUAAAUUUGUUGAUUAAUUGUGCGAAGCAACUCAUUGGAGAAAACUAUUCUAAUUUUAUACUCAUGAAAUAUUUUGAAAGGUAAGUUAAAUUUUUGAAGAAUUUAC